UCCAGCUGCGGUUCCGACCGGUCCCCAGCCUCGCGAGGCACACGCGCGCGUGCACACACACGCGCUCACACUCCCGCUCACACUCGCGCAUCCUCGCUCCCGGCACCCCACCCUCCGAGCCGCUUCUCCGCGGGGUGGGGUGGGGGGGGUGGGGUGACGUCAGGACUGCAGUCCCGAGGAGAGCGGCUGGAGAGGGUUGCGCGCUCCUCGCCUAGGAAGCUGGAGGCGCACUCGGGCAGGCGCCGCUCGCGCGCUCCUCCCUCUCCUCUGCACCCGCUGUCACGCUGCCCGCCCGCGGGGGAGCCUCGCGAGCCUCCAGGUGAAUUGAAAGUCGUUUCCGGGGGAGGACGGAGAGGGUGCUGCAGUCCUGGCAGGCACUGAAACUGCAACUCGGACAGAAACGACCCGGCGGAGGAGCGGGCGCGCGGCGGCGUGCGCAGCCUCCCCGGGCUGCCGGAGGCGGCCGCUGCACAGCUCGCCGCGGAGCGCGGCGGCCGGACCUCCGCCCCGGCACUCCCCGCCCCGGGCGCGCUCGCCGGGGAGAGACCCCCGAGUCCUGCGCAUUUCGCAGCUGCGCCGGCGUGGGGAAUGAGAGCGCGGUGGCUCCGGGUCGCCGCGGAGCAGCUGCCGGUGGGAGAGAGAGGCGAGGCGAGGGGGCGGCAGCCUCGGCCCGAACAUCACUCUGACUUCUGGGUUGGAAAUUGACGGCAGAGGCCGGAAGACCAGCUGAGAGGCUGCUGCAGUGACCCAGAGUGGAAAUCAUUGAACAAAAUAUUUGUUUGCUUCAAAGGU
Long non-coding RNA from Neofelis nebulosa (Clouded leopard), 792 nucleotides. RefSeq lists it as uncharacterized. NCBI's taxonomy places the organism in Eukaryota, Metazoa, Chordata, Mammalia, Carnivora, Felidae. The record is from RefSeq and is a predicted model, not a curated record. The transcript is spliced from 3 exons.